UUGGCCCGUGUGAGCCAAACUUCACAAGUAGAAACGGUUACAAGUGCAAACGAAUUCUUCAUGGGAUCAAACUGCUUGGAAGUGGUAGAGGCUGGAUUUGGUACCACACUCCAGCCCCCUGCUCACUUCCCAUCAUCCUCAGCACAACAGUUGGAGAUGAUGGCACCGAGUCCAGAGAGCGGAGGAGUAAGAAGUCCGCUAACAUGUGGAGUGUGUAGGCUUGACACACGCUGUCUCAGCUCCUGAGACUGAACCAGAGCCGGAUGAGACUUGCCAGCUGUCCAAACAGCCAUUGUUUGCUCUGCUCUCAGGCCCCUCGUGGGACUGACUCUGAAUCAGUCCAGAAAAAUCAUCACGGAG
Peromyscus maniculatus bairdii (prairie deer mouse) is the source of this 360-nucleotide non-coding RNA. NCBI's taxonomy places the organism in Eukaryota, Metazoa, Chordata, Mammalia, Rodentia, Cricetidae. The record is from RefSeq and is a predicted model, not a curated record.